GCAUAUCAGCCACCAACUAUAUAUAAAAGCAAAGAAAAGAAAUUAAAAAAAAGAAAUGAACAAGUUGGAAUGAUUGGGUUAUGGGCUCAUGCAUUGCUUUCCUAGGACGUAAAAAUAGAAAUGAGUGGGUUUUGAUUUAUUUAGUGGGUUUAAUUGUGGAGUGGUUGGUUGAUAUUCCAUCAAAGUGCACCACUUCUAAGCCUUUUUUAAGCACACAUAUGAAUCCUCAGCUAAAUGACCAAUUAGCUGUCGGGGAAGCUGAGCUGAAGGAAGCGAAAGCGUGACGAAACAGGGAGAGAUAACGCAUGCACAAGGGAUAUGUGUUCGCUAAUGACACUAUCCACGUGUGUCUCUUCUAGGCCCUACGAUAUCAUUUCUUGAUUCCUUCACACCUAUCAUUUAUCAUAUCAAUCUCUUUUUUACACUUUUCUUUUGUAUAUUUUUUUGUGUCUCAACCAGGCCAAGACAAGCAAUCCCACCCAAUAGUUCAACAUUUU
This 497-nucleotide unclassified non-coding RNA is filed under the name Hevea brasiliensis (rubber tree). Lineage: Eukaryota; Viridiplantae; Streptophyta; Magnoliopsida; Malpighiales; Euphorbiaceae. The record is from RNAcentral.